GAAUGUGAGGGGAAUCUGGCUGUGACAUCUGUCAAUCCACUGAUUGCCAAGGUUGAUUCGGCUGAUCUUGCUGGUUAGGCAAGUGUCCCCUUCUCCUUCGCUGCUCCAUGUCCAUCCCUCCUGAAGCUGUGUGCUUGGUUGAAGUUGAAGACCACCUCUGAUAGAUGAGGACUCUUUCCUCUGUCAAUGGUAUACAAGUAGCUGUGAUCCUCUGCUCCAAACAAGCUCUCAAAUAAAAACUGAACAUAUUUCACUAUGUAGGAAAUCAAGAUAUUAUUCUUAUUAAACUCUUUAAUGAUUAGUAAUUAUAAGAUUAUUUUCAUAUCUAU
This is a non-coding RNA of Heterocephalus glaber (naked mole-rat), 329 nucleotides long. The record is from Rfam. NCBI's taxonomy places the organism in Eukaryota, Metazoa, Chordata, Mammalia, Rodentia, Bathyergidae.